UGCCAGCCGCCGCGGUAAUACGGAGGGUGCAAGCGUUAAUCGGAAUUACUGGGCGUAAAGGGCGCGUAGGUGGUUGUGUAAGUCGGAUGUGAAAGCCCAGGGCUUAACCUUGGAACUGCAUUCGAUACUGCAUGACUAGAGUGUGGUAGAGGGAAGUGGAAUUCCGGUGUAGCGGUGAAAUGCGUAGAUAUCGGAAGGAACAUCAGUGGCGAAGGCGGCUUCCUGGACCAACACUGACGCUGAGGUGCGAAAGCGUGGGUAGCAAACAGGAUUAGAUA
This 278-nucleotide ribosomal RNA is filed under the name uncultured bacterium. Its description in RNAcentral is "partial 16S ribosomal RNA". It matches the Rfam family "Bacterial small subunit ribosomal RNA", at positions 506 to 784 of the family's 1533-position model. The record is from RNAcentral.